Molecule: ribosomal RNA, 488 nt
Filed under: uncultured bacterium
Lineage: Bacteria
Description: partial 16S ribosomal RNA
Rfam family: Bacterial small subunit ribosomal RNA
Source: RNAcentral
GACGAACGCUGGCGGCGUGCUUAACACAUGCAAGUCGAACGGAAAGGCCCUGCUUUUGUGGGGUGCUCGAGUGGCGAACGGGUGUGUAACACGUGAGUAACCUGCCCUUGACUUUGGGAUAACUUCAGGAAACUGGGGCUAAUACCGGAUAGGAGCUCCUGCUGCAUGGUGGGGGUUGGAAAGUUUCGGCGGUUGGGGAUGGACUCGCGGCUUAUCAGCUUGUUGGUGGGGUAGUGGCUUACCAAGUCGUUGACGGGUAGCCGGCCUGAGAGGGUGACCGGCCACAAUGGGACUGGGACACGGACCAGACGCCUACGGGAGGCAGCAGUGGGGAAGUUUGGACAACGGGCGCAAGCCUGAUCCAGCCAUUGCGCGUGCAGGACGAAGGCCUUCGGGUUGUAAACUGCUUUUGUACGGAACGAAAAGGCUCUGGCUAAUACCUGGGGCGCAUGACGGUACCGUAAGAAUAAGCACCGGCUAACUACGUG